Molecule: ribosomal RNA, 442 nt
Filed under: uncultured bacterium
Lineage: Bacteria
Description: partial 16S ribosomal RNA
Rfam family: Bacterial small subunit ribosomal RNA
Source: RNAcentral
CCUACGGGGGGCAGCAGUGGGGAAUAUUGGGCAAUGGGCGAAAGCCUGACCCAGCAACGCCGCGUGAAGGAAGAAGGCUUUCGGGUUGUAAACUUCUUUUGACAGGGAAGAGCAGAAGACGGUACCUGUCGAAUAAGCCACGGCUAACUACGAGCCAGCAGCUGCGGUAAUACGUAGGUGGCAAGCGUUGUCCGGAUUUACUGGGUGUAAAGGGCGUGUAGCCGGGCUGACAAGUCAGAUGUGAAAUCCUGGGGCUCAACCCCCGAACUGCAGUUGAAACUGUUGGUCUUGAGUAUCGGAGAGGCAGGCGGAAUUCGUGGUGUAGCGGUGAAAUGCGUAGAUAUUAGGAGGAACACCAGUGGCGAAGGCAGCCUGCUGGACGACAACUGACGGUGAGGCGCGAAAGCGUGGGGAGCAAACAGGAUUAGAUACCCCGGUAGUC